RNAcentral lists this ribosomal RNA (466 nucleotides) under uncultured bacterium. Its description in RNAcentral is "partial 16S ribosomal RNA". It matches the Rfam family "Bacterial small subunit ribosomal RNA", at positions 339 to 795 of the family's 1533-position model. The record is from RNAcentral.
CUACGGGCGGCUGCAGUGAGGAAUAUUGCGCAAUGGGGGAAACCCUGACGCAGCGACGCCGCGUGGAUGAUGAAGGCCUUCGGGUCAUAAAAUCCUGUCAGAUGGGAAGAAGUGCAUGGGGGAAUAAUACCUUCUGUGUUUGACGGUACCAUCAAAGGAAGCACCGGCUAACUCCGUGCCAGCAGCCGCGGUAAUACGGAGGGUGCAAACGUUGUUCGGAAUUACUGGGCGUAAAGCGCGCGUAGGCGGUUUGUUAAGUCAGAUGUGAAAGCCCAGGGCUUAACCCUGGACGUGCAUUUGAAACUGGCAGACUUGAGUGAUGGAGGGGAUGGUGGAAUUCCCGGUGUAGAGGUGGAAUUCGUAGAUAUCGGGAGGAAUACCGGUGGCGAAGGCGACUAUCUGGCCAGAUACUGACGCUGAGGUGCGAAAGCGUGGGGAGCAAACAGGAUUAGAUACCCCCGUAGUC